This 325-nucleotide ribosomal RNA is filed under the name uncultured eukaryote. Its description in RNAcentral is "partial 18S ribosomal RNA". It matches the Rfam family "Eukaryotic small subunit ribosomal RNA", at positions 1470 to 1796 of the family's 1831-position model. The record is from RNAcentral.
CCCUUAGAUGUCCUGGGCCGCACGCGCGCUACACUGAUGCAUUCAACGAGUUUUACCUUGGCCGAGAGGCCUGGGCAAUCUUUUAAACCUGCAUCGUGAUAGGGAUAGAUUAUUGCAAUUAUUAAUCUUGAACGAGGAAUUCCUAGUAAACGCAAAUCAUCAAUUUGCAUUGAUUACGUCCCUGCCCUUUGUACACACCGCCCGUCGCACCUACCGAUUGAAUGGUCCGGUGAAGUCUCGGGAUUGUGGCCAGUUCACUUUAUUGGGAGUUGGCUGCGAGAACUUGUCUAAACCUUAUCAUUUAGAGGAAGGUGAAGUCGUAACA